AUAGCAACAGCAGCGUAGCUGAACAUCUUACGGAUGGCCCAGGGCUCCAAAGGCUCGUUUCCUAAGUGAGAGAGAGCCUGGCUGAAGCUGUAUUACCAUUCAUUCUCCAGCCUCCGAAGUCUCAAAGCAUCACUUCCACCAUACUCUAACUGUCAAGACAAACACAAAGGCCCAGAAACUGCCAGACUGUCUUCUGAAGUGGCUAUAAUAUUUACACUCCCAUCAGCAGUGUAGAAGGGGUCUCACUAUGUUGUCUGGAGUGCUGUGGUGGAGUGGAGUGGCUAUUCACAGCUGAGUUUGCAGAGUAAACCACUACCCUGAAAUCUGGAAAGGCAGGUGCACCCACAGAUCCUCAGCUGAGAUCCAAUUACCUGAAAUAGAAGCUGCCAUUAGGAACACUUAAAAGAGCCUGUUCUGCUGGGACACAGAAUCACUUGCUCCAUCUCAUACAUUGAUGAUGAUUAAUUUGUAUGUGUACCUUCCAAAAAAGAUGGUUGUGUUUGAAUGGAGGCCUUCUGGACAGGAAAAUUGCAAAGUACAAUUAACAUUUGAGUCUGUCUGAGUCAUGAAGAAAUGGAGAUUACUGAAAAUAAUUCAUUUUGGUAUCUUCUUACAUCCUGAGAGACUAAUCUUUCCAAGUUCAUCUGAGGCUCCUCUUCUCCAUGACAACCUCAUCCAGGGAUUUCUUCCUGUCCUGGUGUUUUAUGACAUAAUCACAUCCUUCCUGAGAUAAUGAGCACACAAUUGCCUGGAUACCUGAAGGAAUGGAGACAGCGGCAGAAAACACUGCAGAGAGGUGGAAACAUCCGUUAAUAUUUUAAAAUCCCAUUACUGCUACCAACAAUAAUAAUGGAUGCAUAGAAAUAGAUCUGGAUUAGCUGAGCUUGAAACAGUCCAUCUCACACACACACAAAAGAAUUUCAGAUACAGUGAACCCACAUGUUGAAGCUUUCUAGUAUAAUAAAAAUUUCAACUGUUCUGUUGAAUCAUCUGCCUGAUUGGAGGCUACAGAAAAGAUGUCAUCUUAGGAGUGCUUGCUCUGAGUGAGGCUCAUCUUCAAAUCUGAAUGACCACAAGGAGAUUUGAUUAUACAUGUGAACACCUCAGAAGGCACAGCCCACCCAGAAGGCAGACAGGAGGAGACAGACACUAGAGCUCACCGGCUCGCCCUCUCACUCCUACUCAUCUGAGAAGGCAGCCAGCUAACCCUUCAGCCAGGAAGAGGGUCCUCAUCAGAACCUGGCCGUGGUGGCAUCCAGAUCUUGAACCUCCGGACUCCAGACUGUGAGAAAAUAAGUGUGUUGUUUAAACUA
RNAcentral lists this long non-coding RNA (1313 nucleotides) under Homo sapiens (human). Its description in RNAcentral is "long intergenic non-protein coding RNA 635". Lineage: Eukaryota; Metazoa; Chordata; Mammalia; Primates; Hominidae. The record is from RNAcentral.